RNAcentral lists this ribosomal RNA (48 nucleotides) under Beauveria bassiana. RNAcentral's name for it is "partial 18S ribosomal RNA". It matches the Rfam family "Eukaryotic small subunit ribosomal RNA", at positions 1784 to 1831 of the family's 1831-position model. Lineage: Eukaryota; Fungi; Ascomycota; Sordariomycetes; Hypocreales; Cordycipitaceae. The record is from RNAcentral.
AAAAGUCGUAACAAGGUCUCCAUUGGUGAACCAGCGGAGGGAUCAUUA